Molecule: ribosomal RNA, 194 nt
Filed under: uncultured Variovorax sp.
Lineage: Bacteria; Pseudomonadati; Pseudomonadota; Betaproteobacteria; Burkholderiales; Comamonadaceae
Description: partial 16S ribosomal RNA
Rfam family: Bacterial small subunit ribosomal RNA
Source: RNAcentral
CCUACGGGAGGCAGCAGUGGGGAAUUUUGGACAAUGGGCGCAAGCCUGAUCCAGCCAUGCCGCGUGCAGGAUGAAGGCCUUCGGGUUGUAAACUGCUUUUGUACGGAACGAAACGGCCUUUUCUAAUAAAGAGGGCUAAUGACGGUACCGUAAGAAUAAGCACCGGCUAACUACGUGUCAGCAGCCGCGGUAAU